Molecule: ribosomal RNA, 844 nt
Filed under: Pseudomonas sp.
Lineage: Bacteria; Pseudomonadati; Pseudomonadota; Gammaproteobacteria; Pseudomonadales; Pseudomonadaceae
Description: bacterial SSU rRNA
Rfam family: Bacterial small subunit ribosomal RNA
Source: RNAcentral
CCAUGCCGCGUGUGUGAAGAAGGCCCUCGGGUCGUAAAGCACUUUAAGUUGGGAGGAAGGGCUUACAGCGAAUACCUGUGAGUUUUGACGUUACCGACAGAAUAAGCACCGGCUAACUUCGUGCCAGCAGCCGCGGUAAUACGAAGGGUGCAAGCGUUAAUCGGAAUUACUGGGGCGUAAAGCGCGCGUAGGUGGCUUGAUAAGUUGGAUGUGAAAUCCCCGGGCUCAACCUGGGAACUGCAUCCAAAACUGUCUGGCUAGAGUGCGGUAGAGGGUAGUGGAAUUUCCAGUGUAGCGGUGAAAUGCGUAGAUAUUGGAAGGAACACCAGUGGCGAAGGCGACUACCUGGACUGACACUGACACUGAGGUGCGAAAGCGUGGGGGAGCAAACAGGAUUAGAUACCCUGGUAGUCCACGCCGUAAACGAUGUCAACUAGCCGUUGGGGAUCCUUGAGAUCUUAGUGGCGCAGCUAACGCAUUAAGUUGACCGCCUGGGGAGUACGGCCGCAAGGUUAAAACUCAAAUGAAUUGACGGGGGCCCGCACAAGCGGUGGAGCAUGUGGUUUAAUUCGAAGCAACGCGAAGAACCUUACCUGGCCUUGACAUGCUGAGAACUUUCCAGAGAUGGAUUGGUGCCUUCGGGAACUCAGACACAGGUGCUGCAUGGGCUGUCGUCAGCUCGUGUCGUGAGAUGUUGGGUUAAGUCCCGUAACGAGCGCAACCCUUGUCCUUAGUUACCAGCACGUUAUGGUGGGCACUCUAAGGAGACUGCCGGUGACAAACCGGAGGAAGGUGGGGAUGAACGUCAAGUUCAUCAUGGCCCUUACGGCCAGGGCUACACACG